This 512-nucleotide ribosomal RNA is filed under the name uncultured bacterium. RNAcentral's name for it is "bacterial SSU rRNA". It matches the Rfam family "Bacterial small subunit ribosomal RNA", at positions 36 to 507 of the family's 1533-position model. The record is from RNAcentral.
CUGGCGGCGUGCCUAAUACAUGCAAGUCGAACGCACUCUCAUUUAGAUUGAAGGAGCUUGCUCCUGAUUGAUAAACAUUUGAGUGAGUGGCGGACGGGUGAGUAACACGUGGGUAACCUGCCCUAAAGUGGGGGAUAACAUUUGGAAACAGAUGCUAAUACCGCAUAAAACCUAACACCGCAUGGUGUAGGGUUGAAAGAUGGUUUCGGCUAUCACUUUAGGAUGGACCCGCGGUGCAUUAGUUAGUUGGUGAGGUAAAGGCUCACCAAGACCGUGAUGCAUAGCCGACCUGAGAGGGUAAUCGGCCACACUGGGACUGAGACACGGCCCAGACUCCUACGGGAGGCAGCAGUAGGGAAUCUUCCACAAUGGACGAAAGUCUGAUGGAGCAACGCCGCGUGAGUGAAGAAGGUUUUCGGAUCGUAAAACUCUGUUGUUGGAGAAGAAUGUAUCUGAUAGUAACUGAUCAGGUAGUGACGGUAUCCAACCAGAAAGCCACGGCUAACUACGUG